RNAcentral lists this ribosomal RNA (498 nucleotides) under uncultured bacterium. RNAcentral's name for it is "bacterial SSU rRNA". It matches the Rfam family "Bacterial small subunit ribosomal RNA", at positions 28 to 536 of the family's 1533-position model. The record is from RNAcentral.
GAUGAACGCUGGCGGCGUGCCUCAAACAUGCAAGUCGAGCGAGGCUAUGAGUUACCGCAAGGUAAGGCAUAGCCUAGCGGCGAACGGGUGAGUAACACGUGGGUAACCUACCUGGAAGACAGGGAUAACGAUUCGAAAGGGUCGCUAAUACCUGAUAAUAUCCAUCUGCCGGAUGGCGGAGGGAAGAAAGGGGAAACCCGCUUUCAGAUGGGCCCGCGUCCCAUCAGCUAGUUGGUAAGGUAAAGGCUUACCAAGGCGACGACGGGUAGCCGGUCUGAGAGGAUGUACGGCCACACUGGGACUGAGAUACGGCCCAGACUCCUACGGGAGGCAGCAGUUGGGAAUCUUAGGCAAUGGACGAAAGUCUGACCUAGCGACGCCGCGUGAGGGAAGAAGGCCUCGGGUUGUAACUCUGUCAUGGGGAGAAGGAAGUGACGGUACCCAACGAGGAAGCCCUCGCUAACUACGUGCCAGCAGCCGCGGUAAGUCACGAGAGUA